UUUGACGUGAAAAUGAGGAAAAACGGGCCCAGCAGCGAACAGGCGUUAAAAAACCAGCCUUCACGUGUUAAUGCAGAGUUACUUUGUAUUAGAAAACUUAAAAAGUUAAACAGUAUGUGUGAUAUAUUCGACACCUUGGCCACCCUACUAAGCUGUCCUUUGCAUACUAUGAAACGACAAAGGUAGAAAUAUUAUUAGGUCUAUGUAGCUGCCAGUUUUAUGUGGUAGGAAAUAAUAACACCAAGCUCCAAAUGUGCAUUUUCAUUACUUUUAUUCAGAUCAGCGACACUCCUCCUCUUUGAUGCUCCACAUAAGUGGGUGAGGAAAUGUGGUGCUACCAAAAACCAGGAUUUGAGGUCCUCCUCCUCGCUGAGCUGCAAAGACAACAACAGCGCAGCCAGUUCUGUGACACUCUACUCAAGGCAGACGGUGUUUCAGUGCCAGCACACAGCUGCAUCCUGUCAGCUAUCAGCCCGCACAUCUCCUCCACUCUGUCCUCCUUGCCAGUGCCCCCUGCAGGACAGAGCCGUCUCCUGGACUUCCGGGCUCUCGGUGCCUGCACCCUGCUCCACAUGGUCAGGCUGCUGUACUCUGGAGAGAUGGCAGGGGAGGGGGAGAAGGAGAAGCAAGAGGCUAUUUCGGCUGCAGCCAGGUUGGGCAUCCAUGGGCUGGUGGAGGUCAAGAAAAGGGGUCAUAAAAGCGAGAAUGAGGAAGGAGGAGGCCAGCACACGGAGGUGGGAGUUCAGACAGAGCCUCUGAUGUCAAGGGAGGCUGAGCCAAAGCGGAGCAGGUGGAGGCGAGACAUAAGGGAUGGGAGCACUGUUCUGUGGAAAGAAAUACUGUCGGAAAGUCAAAAAGACAUGUGGACACAGACAGAGGAGCUGCAGGUAAACACAGCUCCCUCUACUCACCCAGCAGCCUCCUUUGAGACCAUUGAAGUCACUGCUCUCCAGGGAUUGGGAGACACGAACUCGCAUUUUGUUACCCCUCAAAUUCCCUGUGUGCCCUUAUCCAUCGUCUACACGUCAGAUCAAAACCACACAUCCCAGCCUUCCUCUGCUCCUGCAGCCUCUGUGCAAGACUCCAUAGCUGCUGGACACACAUCUGUAGAUGUGGCACAGCCAUACGCCCCUAACCCCCCAUCCCUCCUUUGUUUUCCCAAUCAGUUGGCUUCAUGUGCUGUAGACCCUCAGGGCUGGUGGGCUAACCCUCAAGGAGAAGCCAGAGAUGUCACGGAGGGUGAAGAAUGGGAUGAGCGGUUUGAAGUGUUCCAAGGCAACAUCCCAGGAUUCAUUAGCUACUUCCUGAACCCAGACAAGGAGCAGGGCUCUCGCAGGGGACGAGCACGGAGGAGGCGUAGAGCAGGAGUGGGAGGUGUCAGGAGAGCCGGGACGAGUGAGAGACGAGC
This 1408-nucleotide long non-coding RNA is filed under the name Mastacembelus armatus (zig-zag eel). Its description in RNAcentral is "lncRNA (ENSMAMG00000025922.1)". The record is from RNAcentral. Lineage: Eukaryota; Metazoa; Chordata; Actinopteri; Synbranchiformes; Mastacembelidae.